RNAcentral lists this long non-coding RNA (427 nucleotides) under Phascolarctos cinereus (koala). Its description in RNAcentral is "lncRNA (ENSPCIG00000030333.2)". Lineage: Eukaryota; Metazoa; Chordata; Mammalia; Diprotodontia; Phascolarctidae. The record is from RNAcentral.
GCACUUAUUAAGUGCUUGUUGGUUCAAAUACAAAGAACAGUGAGAUGAGUUAUUUUUUUUUUCAAUCUGCAUGGUACAGAGGAGAAAUCUCAAAUCCCAGCCCAUGGGCCAUGCUGACCUGAUUACAGACAGCCCUAUAAGGGUCUUGAAUGCUUUCUAACACAGUCCAUACGGGAUGCAGCCUCAAGCAAUCCUAGAAGCAUUUGGCCUUCCAAACACAUUCACAGGAGACCAGAGAGCAGAUUCUGUAAACAAAGUCGAAGCCAGAGACCAUGCAAAGGCAUAUGGCUCAAGAAGGAUGAGAAAUUCUCAAGAAUGAAAUUAUAAAGUAUGAUCAAAAAUUAUCCCACUGAAGACAAACAAUGAAUGUGGCUGCAUAAGGUUCUCUUUGAUAAUCUCACGAUUAAAAUGUUUUUGCAAACCCCCC